GGCUAAAAAUGUCUCAUUCCGAUAACUUGAAAUCUUGUAGAUUGCAAAAGCAUGAUCCUUUUCUAAGUUGUUGCGAGACAUGAUACAGUAUAAAUAGAUUUUGCUAUGACUUUGUUCUAAGAGAAACUUGACAUCCGGAGUUUUCUUUUCAAAAAUUCAAAAACAAAGAGUUCCUCAAUGAUUAUGAAAUACCUACCAACGCCAUAUGACUUGCUUAGUAGUUUGUACACCUUUAGUCAUAUGCGGCUUGCGGCGCUUUGAGUUGAGUCAAAUCCCAGGUAUCCUAGAGUGAGAUUAUGAUCAUGCACCCAUGAUAUGAGAUUCACGCACCCACCAAAUAAAGCUGACUCUCACACUGAGAAGUUACGCACAACAUGCACCCUUCCAUCCACCAAAAAUAUGCCAACUCUUAUCCUGAGAGUUGUGCCUUAGCUUCCACCAAAUAAGUAUGCCAAACUCUCACCCUGAGGUUUGCGCAUCCACAUACACAAUUUUACUCCUUACAUCACCAUCAUGACAUCUCUCCAUUUUUCUCUUUGAGAUCCCUUUGAAACAUGUGGGCAUCAGUCUUCCAAAAAAAAUGAAGAAAAAGCCAAAGGGCAUAGAUGGGACAAUCAAAAUCCCCGUCAGAAAAAAAUAACUUGCAUAUGUUUACAUAUUUUUAGGGCCCAUAUGUUUACAUUCUCUCAUUCUAAUCCUCAAAUAAAGAGAGUCAUGAUACAAGGAGUAACCAAAAAUAUUUAGAUGGGACUACCACCAAAAAUUCCACACCC
This 773-nucleotide long non-coding RNA is filed under the name Sorghum bicolor (sorghum). RNAcentral describes it as "long non-coding RNA (SBIC_LNC012901)". Lineage: Eukaryota; Viridiplantae; Streptophyta; Magnoliopsida; Poales; Poaceae. The record is from RNAcentral.